Long non-coding RNA from Priapulus caudatus, 272 nucleotides. RefSeq lists it as uncharacterized. The record is from RefSeq and is a predicted model, not a curated record. NCBI's taxonomy places the organism in Eukaryota, Metazoa, Priapulida, Priapulimorpha, Priapulimorphida, Priapulidae. The transcript has 3 exons.
GAUCGGCUGUUCCUAUUGUUAGACACAGGGAGCACAGCUGUAGCACGCAAGGCUGCAGCCCAGCAGUUGGGUGAGGUCCAAAAGCUUCACCCGCACGAACUGCACAACCUACUGGCAAAGGUGCACGGCUACCUGCGCAGUAUAUUCAUGGGAGACGAGGAUCGCUGCAGGUCUGGCCGUAGAAGCUAUCUGUAAGAAUGUUCCUCAGUGGCAGCCGAAGCCUGCAGCUAAGCAAGGUGAGGAUGAGGAGCACAGCUGCGGCUGCAGUGACC